This 729-nucleotide ribosomal RNA is filed under the name uncultured eukaryote. Its description in RNAcentral is "SSU rRNA". It matches the Rfam family "Eukaryotic small subunit ribosomal RNA", at positions 670 to 1426 of the family's 1831-position model. The record is from RNAcentral.
CGGGUGCACUGAUCCGGCCGGGCCUUUCCCUCUGUGGAACCCCAUGGCCUUCACUGGCUGUGCGGGGGAAACAGGACUUUUACUGUGAAAAAAUUAGAGUGCUCCAGGCAGGCCUAUGCUCGAAUACAUUAGCAUGGAAUAAUAGAAUAGGACGCGUGGUUCUAUUUUGUUGGUUUCUAGGACCGCCGUAAUGAUUAAUAGGGACAGUCGGGGGCAUCAGUAUUCAAUUGUCAGAGGUGAAAUUCUUGGAUCUAUUGAAGACUAACUACUGCGAAAGCAUUUGCCAAGGAUGUUUUCAUUGAUAAGGAACGAAAGUUAGGGGAUCGAAGACGAUCAGAUACCGUCGUAGUCUUAACUAUAAACUAUGCCGACUAGGGAUCGGACGAUGUUAUUUCUUGACGCGUUCGGCACCUUUCGAGAAAUCAAAGUGCUUGGGCUCCAGGGGGAGUAUGGUCGCAAGGCUGAAACUUAAAGAAAUUGACGGAAGGGCACCACCGGGGGUGGAACCUGCGGCUUAAUUUGACUCAACACGGGGAAACUCACCAGGUCCAGACACAGUGAGGAUUGACAGAUUGAGAGCUCUUUCUUGAUUCUGUGGGUGGUGGUGCAUGGCCGUUCUUAGUUGGUGGAGUGAUUUGUCUGCUUAAUUGCGAUAACGAACGAGACCUUAACCUGCUAAAUAGCCCGUACUGCUCUGGCAGUUCGCCGGCUUCUUAGAGGGACUAUCGG